Molecule: ribosomal RNA, 615 nt
Filed under: Microcella frigidaquae
Lineage: Bacteria; Bacillati; Actinomycetota; Actinomycetes; Micrococcales; Microbacteriaceae
Description: bacterial SSU rRNA
Rfam family: Bacterial small subunit ribosomal RNA
Source: RNAcentral
ACGAUGAAAGCAGGAGCUUGCUUUUGCUGGAUUAGUGGCGAACGGGUGAGUAACACGUGAGUAACCUGCCCUUGACUCUGGGAUAAGCGUUGGAAACGACGUCUAAUACCGGAUACGAGCUAGGACCGCAUGGUCACUAGUUGGAAAGAAUUUUGGUCAAGGAUGGACUCGCGGCCUAUCAGCUAGUUGGUGAGGUAACGGCCCACCAAGGCGACGACGGGUAGCCGGCCUGAGAGGGUGACCGGCCACACUGGGACUGAGACACGGCCCAGACUCCUACGGGAGGCAGCAGUGGGGAAUAUUGCACAAUGGGCGAAAGCCUGAUGCAGCAACGCCGCGUGAGGGACGACGGCCUUCGGGUUGUAAACCUCUUUUACCAGGGAAGAAGCGAAAGUGACGGUACCUGCAUAAUAAGCACCGGCUAACUACGUGCCAGCAGCCGCGGUAAUACGUAGGGUGCAAGCGUUGUCCGGAAUUAUUGGGCGUAAAGAGCUCGUAGGCGGUUUGUCGCGUCUGCUGUGAAAAUCCGAGGCUCAACCUCGGACCUGCAGUGGGUACGGGCAAACUAGAGUGCGGUAGGGGAGAUUGGAAUUCCUGGUGUAGCGGUGGAAUGCG